GGGAAGGUAGCUCAGUGGUAGAGUGCUUGCCUCCCGUGCAUGAGGUCCUGGGUUCGAUUCCUCCGCACCA
Dipodomys ordii (Ord's kangaroo rat) is the source of this 70-nucleotide non-coding RNA. The record is from Rfam. NCBI's taxonomy places the organism in Eukaryota, Metazoa, Chordata, Mammalia, Rodentia, Heteromyidae.